ACCAGCUCAGACUUUUGUCCCUGUAGGUGGUGGUAGUGGUCAGAAAUGGCUUUUGCUUUGGUAAUAGGUGAAUUUUAUUCCUCAAGAGUCUCAGGCAUCAGAAGUACUAGGUGUCUUAAUCCAAGCAAAAAUAAGACAGCUUAAAAAACAACCAGAAGAAAGUGCCUCUGAUGAACUAUCCAUCCUUAUUUUUAAACUGGUCUUUGAGAGGAGAAUAGUACGUGGUUAUAUAUAGGGCAAGAUAAGAGCAACUAGGACUUCAAAGCUUGUUGAUGGCUGCACUCUGGAUAAAGUCCUCAUUUGUAUGGUUGGGCUUUCUGAUCAAAUAGCCUUUCCAGGUUUAACUUCUGUAAGGAGCCUCAAGUGAAAAAACCAGGGCCACUGGGGAUUUUUAUGAAAUCAUGUAGAGUGCUGUAGUUUUGAAGUCAUCCUUUCAUGAUAAAAUACCUAUGGAAAACCAGGGAUAUUUUUUUCUCCAACUCUUCCUCUCUUUACUCCUUACCCCUCUACUCUCUACUUCUGUCUUCCUUCCCUCCACCCUUUUAAGAUUCAGCGGGUACAGAACAACCUCUUCUAUUUCAGAGUACCCUUGAGGAUUAAAAUGUAUUGUGAUUAGUUGUCUUUAAUUAGCUAGCUGGAGUCAGUUGAUAUCUCUGCCAAGCUGAAGCCUAGUACCUACGAAGCUGUUUCUUUACCAAAGUGUCUUGUUUCUGUUUAUGGUCAUGAGCUGAUCAUGCAGUUUGCUAGAUGAUUUGACACUGGUAGUGAGUUCUUUUGAGGUGUGAGAUUUCUACUUGAAACUGAUAGAUCUUGAUCUACUUUAUUAGAUCACUGAUUCAGAGCUCAAAUCCCAGGUUCAGGGUAAGAAUUUGUAACACAAAGGAAAAACUCCCUUCACUUUGCCCUUAACACUUGCCUCUGUUAUAUCUAAGCUUCAUUAGAUUUCUUAAUAUCAUCCAGUGUUUGAUGUUACCUGCAUUGUUUUUUCGUUUUAAUUGUGGUUGUUCUGAUGUGUGAAAUUUAAGGAAAGAGCCAUUUAAUAAAUGCCAAGCAGGGCAAUGCAGCCAAAUAUUAGAGUUGAUGUGCAGUCUUAGGUCCUUUUUAAUCUGGGGUAUUAUAGGCAGUACUUUAAAUCAGAGUCUUCCUGGCCUAUUUCCCUCCACCUUUUUGUAGUUACUCGGGGGCUUACUUGUGCAGUACUAAAAUCAAAGGAGCUGGUUCUUCUUUUCCCCCAAUCUUUUCUUAGUAAUGAACACACCUACAACUAGCCUGCUACUCCUAUUCAUACACAGCAGAUGUCAGUGCUGUGCUGCUAAUAUUAGCUGGAUUUCCUGCAGUGCAGGGAUGGAACCUUGCACAUGCUAGGCAAGCUUUCUAACCCUGAGCUACAUACAUCCUAGCUCUUAGAACUAGCACCCUGAAGCAUCUUUGUUUCAUGUGUCAAGAUGCGGACAAAGACCAACAUUGUUUUUAUAAAAAUGCUAGUAAUUUAGAACCCUGCCCCACCCCCUACCCCCCAAUCAAGGAGGCAAAAAUUAAUGCACUAGUCACUGAAGACUCCAUCUUCAGUUACCUGGAUAGGAUAGAUUCCUCCUAACAAGUACUGGUGAGCAUCACAGUGCUUUGCAAAGAUUUAAGAGGAGGCAGUUACUGUACUUCGCCUGCUUUUGGGCCUAGAUAACAUCACUGUUUAUUUACAAAAAGCAAACAGCUUGGGUUUGAAAAGGCAGCCAUGUAGAGAAAACUUGAGAAUUGGGGCUCACUGGGAAGUUCUAGUGCUAAUGUUAAAACCUCAAAUCAGCUGGAUAUUUGAAGAUGGUAAAGAAUUGGAUAUAGUCCUGAAACAUUUUAUUUUUCUAAAACAGGCUGAUUAGCAGUGGUGGUUUUCCCUUUUUCUGACAGUGUGUUUUAGCUCCUGUUUCAGAUUUCUGUGUUAUUUUUUCCAAUUUACAAGUCCCUUAAGUUUCCACCUGGAAUGUCAGGUGGCAAUGACAUCGUGUUCUUUUUUUAAACCCUUAUUUAAGAACAAGUUGAGUUGAACUGAAUCUUCCUUGUCUUAGUAACAUUGUACAAACAGUGGCUUUUUUUUAAGUUGUAAUGCCUUCUGAUGGAUAUAAUUUUGUGCUUGUAUUUAAGAUUAAAAGUUGAGUAAAUAACACCAGCUUCCUGAAAAUGUCCAUAAUGCAUCUUUUGAAAAACAAAACACCUGCCUACUUUACAUUAACAUGGUAAAGAUUGUAUGAAAUACCUGUUUUUCAAAAAAUAAAGGUUCAAGAUAACAGUA
RNAcentral lists this long non-coding RNA (2284 nucleotides) under Rattus norvegicus (Norway rat). RNAcentral describes it as "long non-coding RNA NONRATT003084". The record is from RNAcentral. Lineage: Eukaryota; Metazoa; Chordata; Mammalia; Rodentia; Muridae.